UACGGAGGGAGCUAGCGUUGUUCGGAAUUACUGGGCGUAAAGCGUACGUAGGCGGUUACUCAAGUCAGAGGUGAAAGCCCGGGGCUCAACCCCGGAACUGCCUUUGAAACUAGGUAGCUAGAAUCUUGGAGAGGCGAGUGGAAUUCCGAGUGUAGAGGUGAAAUUCGUAGAUAUUCGGAAGGACACCAGUGGCGAAGGCGACUCGCUGGACAAGUAUUGACGCUGAGGUACGAAAGCGUGGGGAGCAAACAGG
Molecule: ribosomal RNA, 253 nt
Filed under: uncultured bacterium
Lineage: Bacteria
Description: partial 16S ribosomal RNA
Rfam family: Bacterial small subunit ribosomal RNA
Source: RNAcentral